Gracilinanus agilis (Agile Gracile Mouse Opossum) is the source of this 107-nucleotide small nuclear RNA. The record is from RefSeq and is a predicted model, not a curated record. Lineage: Eukaryota; Metazoa; Chordata; Mammalia; Didelphimorphia; Didelphidae.
GUGCUUGCUUUAGCAGUACAUAUACUAAAAUUGGGAUGGUACAGAGAAGGUUAGUGUGGCUCCUGUGCAAGGAUGACAUGCAAAUUCCUGGAGCAUUCCAUAUUUUU